Molecule: RNA transcript, 652 nt
Organism: Penaeus monodon (black tiger shrimp)
Lineage: Eukaryota; Metazoa; Arthropoda; Malacostraca; Decapoda; Penaeidae
Exons: 3
Source: RefSeq, a predicted model, not a curated record
UCAUUACCCUAAUCUUAACGAAAAGAUACAAAGCACUGAAAGAUUAAUUCCAAAACAACUAGAAAUCUUUCAUAAAUAAAGGAAUAUGCAUGAAAUACUUCCGAAAAAAAAAGUAAAAAAAAAAAAAAAAAAUCCAGACACAAUUUCGACAUUUCCUAGCGGGCGUAUCCUUGUACAAAUCUUACUCACGACGGUCUGUAAUGUCUCAGAAGUGUGUCUUGCUUCACAGUCCGAGGGUGCCUCUCCCCGCGCAGCAUGUCUGGGAAGAUCGUCAUGCAGUUCGUUCUUCUGUGCAUGAUGGUUUCGCUCAUUUCUAUGAACCGCGGGACCCAGUUCCCUCCGGCUCUCCCGAGGACGGGCUACCACCAGUUCCACAUCCUCGGCUGCGUCGGCGUCUGCAUGAGGAAGGGGUCGUUCGGCUGCGAAAGGGACUGGGGCUGCAUCUUCAGGCAGACGUGACGGAGACGCGGCCAGGGAAGGGUAGCGGCCGCGGUCAGGGGAGCACAAGAAGGACUCAGCUGCUAAACUUCUACUGUGACAUCAAUAAAACGAAAGAUUUUGCUUCUUCUGUCAUUAUCAAGACAGAGAGAGAGAGAGAGAGAGAGAGAGAGAGAGAGAGAAGAGAGAGAGAGAGAGAGAGAGAGAGAGAGAG